Molecule: ribosomal RNA, 427 nt
Filed under: uncultured bacterium
Lineage: Bacteria
Description: partial 16S ribosomal RNA
Rfam family: Bacterial small subunit ribosomal RNA
Source: RNAcentral
GUGGGGAAUAUUGGGCAAUGGGGGAAACCCUGACCCAGCGACGCCGCGUGAGGGAAGACGGCCUUCGGGUUGUAAACCUCUUUUGUACGGGAAGAAGGAAGUGACGGUACUGUACGAAUAAGUCCCGGCUAACUACGUGCCAGCAGCCGCGGUAAUACGUAGGGGACGAGCGUUGUCCGGAAUUACUGGGCGUAAAGGGCGCGCAGGCUGUGCUGCAAGUCAGCUGUGAAAUGUCUGGGCUUAACCCGGGCAUGCGGUUGAGACUGCAGUGCUGGAGUGCUGUAGAGGCAAGUGGAAUUCCCAGUGUAGCGGUGAAAUGCGUAGAUAUUGGGAAGAACACCGGUGGCGAAGGCGGCUUUCUGGACGGUGUCUGACACUGAGGCGCGAAAGCUAGGGGAGCGAACGGGAUUAGAUACCCGGGUAGUCC